Molecule: ribosomal RNA, 483 nt
Filed under: uncultured bacterium
Lineage: Bacteria
Description: partial 16S ribosomal RNA
Rfam family: Bacterial small subunit ribosomal RNA
Source: RNAcentral
GACGAACGCUGGCGGCGUGCUUAACACAUGCAAGUCGAACGGUGAAAGCGGAGCUUGCUCCGCUGGAUCAGUGGCGAACGGGUGAGUAACACGUGGGCAACCUGCCCCUGACUUCGGGAUAACUCCUCGAAAGAGGUGCUAAUACCGGAUACGAAUCCUGCUGGCAUCUGCGGGAUUGGAAAGUUUUUCGGUCAGGGAUGGGCCCGCGGCCUAUCAGCUUGUUGGUGCGGUAGUGGCUCACCACGGCGAAGACGGGUAGCCGGCCUGAGAGGGCGACCGGCCACACUGGGACUGAGACGCGGCCCAGCCUCCUACGGGAGGCAGCAGUGGGGAAUAUUGCGCAAUGGGCGAAAGCCUGACGCAGCAACGCCGCGUGAGGGAUGACGGCCUUCGGGUUGUAAACCUCUUUCAGCAGGGAAGAAGCGAAAGUGACGGUACCUGCAGAAGAAGCACCGGCUAACUACGUGCCAGCAGCCGCCGUAA